RNAcentral lists this ribosomal RNA (605 nucleotides) under uncultured Bacteroidota bacterium. Its description in RNAcentral is "bacterial SSU rRNA". It matches the Rfam family "Bacterial small subunit ribosomal RNA", at positions 252 to 858 of the family's 1533-position model. The record is from RNAcentral. Lineage: Bacteria; Pseudomonadati; Bacteroidota.
GCGGGGUAACGGCCCACCAAGGCGACGAUCAGUAGGGGUUCUGAGAGGAAGGUCCCCCACAUUGGAACUGAGACACGGUCCAAACUCCUACGGGAGGCAGCAGUGAGGAAUAUUGGUCAAUGGGCGAGAGCCUGAACCAGCCAAGUAGCGUGCAGGAUGACGGCCCUAUGGGUUGUAAACUGCUUUUAUGCGGGGAUAAAGUGAGGGACGUGUCCCUUAUUGCAGGUACCGCAUGAAUAAGGACCGGCUAAUUCCGUGCCAGCAGCCGCGGUAAUACGGAAGGUCCGGGCGUUAUCCGGAUUUAUUGGGUUUAAAGGGAGCGUAGGCCGUCUGGUAAGCGUGUUGUGAAAUGUCGGGGCUCAACCUGGGCAUUGCAGCGCGAACUGUCAGACUUGAGUGCGCGGGAAGUAGGCGGAAUUCGUCGUGUAGCGGUGAAAUGCUUAGAUAUGACGAAGAACUCCGAUUGCGAAGGCAGCCUGCUGUAGCGCAACUGACGCUGAAGCUCGAAAGCGUGGGUAUCGAACAGGAUUAGAUACCCUGGUAGUCCACGCGGUAAACGAUGGAUGCUCGCUGUUUGCGUCUGACGUAAGCGGCCAAGCGAAAGC